GGAGGAGGAAAGUUGUCAAUUGCUUGGCUGGAAUCCACCUUUUGCAGACUUUUAUCACUUGUAAUAUCUGGAAGAUCUUCAUAAUUAGUCAUUUCUAAUUAUUUUUCUAUCUUUCUUUGUUGUAUUUUUUUGGAGUUUUCUUAUUUUUUUAGAAUUUCUAAUUCUAAAUCUUUGUGUACAAUGUUGGUAUCACUCUCAAAAUAUUUGACAAUUAUUUUUUGAUCAACAACCACCAGAGGGAGCUUUUACCUUUCUUUACUUUUUCAACUUAGAUAACUAUGUUGUUCUACUGUAAUAUUUCUACCACAGAUUUUAUUAUAUUUCUAUGGUUAGAUGAUAUUGUGAAACCAUUAUAUUACCAUUUAUUUAUUUUAUAUACAUACACGUGUGUGUGUGUGUGUAUAUGUAUUUGUACACAUUUUUUUCUCAUUCCUCUUUCUACUCUAUGGUCCCUUUCAGGUAAACCCUCUGUACAGAGAAGACAGCUAGAACAUUCCCAGAUUCGUAUGUUAGAUUUUGAAUCAUCAGUUCACAUCAACAGGUGGCAACUCACCUCUUCUUCAAGAAAUUACUCCUUUGUAACUCCUAGGCAGUUGGUAAGGAGAAAGAAUAUUUAACUCUGACUGUUUUGUCUUCUUCAUCCACUGAAUCAUAUUUUGCUCUACCAAAUAUUGCAUGAAUUCCAUUGUUAAGUCUUGUUUUUUGAUAUUCUUGAUAGUCCCAGGAAAACUACCAGUGUUUCCUGUAACAGUCUGUUUAAAACUAAGUAAUUAGUUCAAAGUAUGUUAUUCAGCUUCAAAAAGCAGCAUUAGAAAUGUUCAGGGGAAAAAAUCAUCUAGAUCAUUAAAAAGUCAUGUACAUUUACACUUGCUGCAUCAAAAUCCCUGAUUCUCUCUUUUUAUAAUUCUUGUCUUCACACCAGAUAAAAUCAUAGAUCCUAAAAUCUGAAUGUUUUCAAGAAAUCCAUUUAUGUAUUGACAAAGUUAAGGUUUUACCUUUACCACUAUGUCAUACUCUCCUGAAAUGCCAAUGUAGUUUUGAUUAAGCAGGUCUUAUUUCAAGUGAUGUUCACACUUGUCACAUGCACUAACAGGAAGUUGCAUCCUGGUUUCAGAGUAAAGCUGCCUCUUACACAUAAAUGGUUAUGAAACACACCUUAAAAGCAAAUAAAAAUGAAUGGUGAGGAAAGCUGAAGGUCA
This 1199-nucleotide long non-coding RNA is filed under the name Gopherus agassizii (Agassiz's desert tortoise). Its description in RNAcentral is "lncRNA (ENSGAGG00000020196.1)". Lineage: Eukaryota; Metazoa; Chordata; Testudines; Testudinidae. The record is from RNAcentral.